Cercocebus atys (sooty mangabey) is the source of this 1729-nucleotide long non-coding RNA. RefSeq lists it as uncharacterized. NCBI's taxonomy places the organism in Eukaryota, Metazoa, Chordata, Mammalia, Primates, Cercopithecidae. The record is from RefSeq and is a predicted model, not a curated record. The transcript is spliced from 3 exons.
GGGCUGUUUUUCUUUACAAAUGUCAUCUGAAAACAAACACUUACUGGCUCUGCCCGGCUGCCCCGACCCCUGGGAGAGUGGGGGCAGGGACCAGGCCUGGCCACCCCCGUCCAGGUGGCUGGAGACUCUUCCAGGCCAGACUGGCCUCUGACCCUCCUUUGCUGCCCGUGCCACACCAGUCAGGCCAGUGUCUUCCCUGGCCAGAAGGCUCUGGCCUCACCCCAUUUGCCACCCAGAACUGGGGAAGGACCCGCCUGGCCCGGCCAGUGGCCCCUGAAGCCGUCUUUCUCCCACGGGCCAUCCCUGGCUCAACCCUGUGCCCAGGGCAGGGUCAGGCCCAGUGGGUCUCUCUGUGGAGGGAAGGGCUGCCUGGGAUAUCUGGGGGCGGUGAGGGGGCGUCCCAGCCGCAACCCUUCCCUGGGCCUCAUGUGGGCACCACCCCUCCCUUACACGCUGGGCUCUGGGAGCGGGUGGGACCCUCCUCCGCCGGAGCUGUGAGGUUUUUCUUCCAGAAGGCUCGCACAGGGGUUCCCGCCCACAGCCUCGGCUUGGAACCUGAGGGCUCUGAGGCUUCCUGGGGGGGUUGUGCGGCCUUGCACUGUGGGUCCUCCCAGCUCGGCAGCCCUCUGCGGAGGCAAUGUGGCACUUUGUCCUCUUGGAGCAAAAAGCAGCCCCUGCACCGUCCCUCCCAGGGUCCAUCCCAGGACCCCAGGGACCACCCGGGGGUCCAAGGGUGGUGGGGACCGCCCUCCCGACAAAGCUUCUUUGCACUCCUGCUCACUGUGCUUUGCCCCCAGGUGCACCAAGGGAUCCUGCAGGAAGCCUGUGGGCUGGAACUGGGGGGUGUGUCUGGGGCAGCAGUGUCUGGACCCUGGCCUGCCUGAGGGCUGGGAGCUUGGACCACAGGCCUCAGGAGUCAGGAGAGGGCCACCACUCUCCCUUCCCCUCGCCACGGUGGUCCCAGGCAGGAGGGAGCAGGCAAAGCAGCAAAGCCGGCAUGGGCUUUGUGGCACACACUGGCCCGGGGUCUUUGGCUGGGCUAGGGUCACCUGAAGCUGGUGCCUGUGGGCGCCAUUUUCUGGAUGCUCCCCUGGUUUCUCAGUGCUGUGGGGAGGGGGAAUGCCCCAUGCUUCCUGCCUUGUCUUCGCCUGCCCCCACCCCAAGCUCCACUGGGCGGGGAGGAGAGGGGCACCUCCGUGGGACUCAGCUAUCCCCCGAACUCCCACAGGAGCUCCAGGCCCAGAGUCCCCAGGAGGGAGCAGCCGGCAGCACCGUUUCCGCCGUGGAGAUGGGGCGUCCUGGUUUGAGUUCACUCCUUUCCAGGUGGAGCUGACGCCUUGAGACCAAGGCCAGGCCCCCCAGGCCCCAGGGCUCUGAGGCACUUUCUUGGGUCGGUGUGCUGGAUGGAAGUAGGGCUGUAUUUCCUAAGUCCUGCAGGGCAGACCUGGCCUCUGGAGGUAGGAUGCGUGGAACGUGGUGGAGCCAGCGAGUAGGGGAACGGGGACCUCCUCAGGGUGUCACUCUCUUGCCCAGGCUGGAGUGCAGUGGUGCGAUCAUGGCUUGCUACAGCCUCAACACCCUGGGCUCACACGAUCCUCUCGCCUCAGCCUCCCACAGAACUGGGGAUGCAGGUGCCUGCCGCUGCGCCUGACUGGUUUUUGGUAGAGAUGGGGUCUCACUGUGUUGCUCAGGCUGGUCUCCAACUCCUGGACUCAAGCUGUCUGCCCAC